Non-coding RNA from Loxodonta africana (African savanna elephant), 72 nucleotides. The record is from Rfam. NCBI's taxonomy places the organism in Eukaryota, Metazoa, Chordata, Mammalia, Proboscidea, Elephantidae.
ACCCUGGUGGAGCAAUGGUUAAGCUCUUGGUUGCUAACCUAAAGGUUGGUGGUUCGAAUCCACCCAGUGGGU